UACGGAGGGAGCUAGCGUUAUUCGGAAUUACUGGGCGUAAAGCGCACGUAGGCGGCUUUGUAAGUUAGAGGUGAAAGCCUGGAGCUCAACUCCAGAAUUGCCUUUGAUACUGCAUGGCUUGAAUCCAGGAGAGGUGAGUGGAAUUCCGAGUGUAGAGGUGAAAAUUCGUAGAUAUUCGGAAGAACACCAGUGGCGAAGGCGGCUCACUGGACUGGUAUUGACGCUGAGGUGCGAAAGCGUGGGG
This 244-nucleotide ribosomal RNA is filed under the name uncultured bacterium. RNAcentral describes it as "partial 16S ribosomal RNA". It matches the Rfam family "Bacterial small subunit ribosomal RNA", at positions 524 to 766 of the family's 1533-position model. The record is from RNAcentral.